This 164-nucleotide non-coding RNA is filed under the name uncultured Roseburia sp. The record is from RNAcentral. Lineage: Bacteria; Bacillati; Bacillota; Clostridia; Lachnospirales; Lachnospiraceae.
UUGGAAGAACAUUAGAAAAUCUUUGUAUACUUGUCCAUCAUCAGUGAUGUUCUGCCACGGAUGGCAGAACAAGGCUUCACGAGCCAUGGAAGGCUCGUUGAAUGCCGGUCACGUCACUCUAAGAUUACUUUUUCAAGCAUACUUAGAUUUUCUUAUGUUCGUAC